RNAcentral lists this ribosomal RNA (415 nucleotides) under uncultured bacterium. RNAcentral's name for it is "bacterial LSU rRNA". It matches the Rfam family "Bacterial large subunit ribosomal RNA", at positions 216 to 637 of the family's 2925-position model. The record is from RNAcentral.
GAGAAAGAAAAUUCGAUUUCCUAAGUAGCGGCGAGCGAAAGGGAAACAGCCCAAACCUAGAUGGUUUACCAUUUAGGGGUUAGGACAGUCAACAAAUAAGAGGUAUCUUAGUCGAAAAGCUUUGGAAAAUGCUGCCGCAGAGGGUAAAAGCCCCGUAGACGAAAAAGAGAAGACUUUAUGACUGCACCAGAGUACCACGAGACACGUGAAACCUUGUGGGAAUAUCGGGGGACCACCCCCGAAGGCUAAAUACUACCCAGCGACCGAUAGAGAAUAGUACCGUGAGGGAAAGGUGAAAAGAACCCCGGGAGGGGAGUGAAAUAGAACCUGAAACCCUAUGCUUACAAGCUGUAGGAGUCCUUUAUAUGGAUGACUGCGUACUUUUUUGUAGAACGGGCCAACGAGUUGCAAUAUG